This 1305-nucleotide ribosomal RNA is filed under the name Teredorus bashanensis. RNAcentral describes it as "16S ribosomal RNA". The stretch from base 1061 to 1220 matches the Rfam family "Archaeal large subunit ribosomal RNA", at positions 2542 to 2701 of the family's 2987-position model. The record is from RNAcentral. Lineage: Eukaryota; Metazoa; Arthropoda; Insecta; Orthoptera; Tetrigidae.
UUAUUAUAUAAUUAUUUUUUUUUGUUUAUUUUAUUUUUUAAUUAAUUAUUUUUAUUUUUUAUAGGUUUAGUAAUAUUUUUUUUAAAUUCUUUUUUUAAUUAUAGUUUAAUUUUAAUGUAAAUGAUUUUGUUUCUUUUUGUUAAAGAAUUUUUAUUUAUUUUACCUUUUGUAUCAGGGUUUAUUUAAUAAUUUUUUUUUAUAAAUUUUUCUCGAAUUGUGAGGAUUUAUUUUAAUGUGAUUUUUAACGUUUUAUAGUUAUUUUUUAUUUUAUGAUGGUAGUGAAAUGCUAUUCGUUUCUUAAUAUAUCUAGUUUUCUGAGAAUUAAAUUUAAUUUUAAGGGUUUUUUUAAUUUAAUUUAUUUAAAUUUAUUUAAUUUUUAAUUCUCUUUUAAUUUUAAGGGGUUAAGCUCUUAAUUGUUUUAUAAUUUUAUUUUUUUUUUUAACAAGGUUAUAGGCUUGAAAUCAGCCUUUGUUUUAUUUGCGUUUUAGUAUACUUGUUGUUUUAAUUAUUUUUUAUUUUAUUUAAUUUUUUUAUUGGAAUAUUAACUUUAAUUUUUUUUUGUUAAUUAAUUAUGAUGGAAUUAGUAUAUUUAUUUGUUUUUAAUUUAUUUAUUUAAAUUUUAAUUUAAGUAAUUCGGCAAGUUUUUAAUGUUUCCGCCUGUUUAUCAAAAACAUCUCCUUUAGUGUUUAUUAUAGGUUGGGCCUGCUCACUGAUUUUUAAAGAGCCGCGGUAUUUUGACUGUGCAAAGGUAGCAUAAUCAUUAGUUUAUUAAUUGUAAACUGGAAUGAAAGGUUUGACGAGAAACAUGCUGUCUCUAUUUAAUAUAUAGAAUUUUAUUUUUUAGUAAAAAAGCUGAAAUAUUAUUUUAGGACGAUAAGACCCUAUAGAGUUUUAUUUAUCUAUUUUUUAUGAUUUGGGGUCUUUUUCUUUUAUAGAUUUAUGGAUAUAGUUUUGUUGGGGUGAUGUGAAUAAUUGAUAAACUAUUCAUUUAUUUUUUUUUUCAUUGAUUUAUGUUUUUUAUGAUCUUUUAUUAUUGAUGUUGAGAUAUAAUUACCUUAGGGAUAACAGCGCAAUUAUUUUUGAGAGUUCUUAUUGAUAAAAUAGAUUGUGACCUCGAUGUUGGAUUAAGAUUAUUAUUUGGGUGUAGAAGCUUAAAUUAUUGGUCUGUUCGACCAUUAAAAUCUUACAUGAUCUGAGUUCAGACCGGUGUGAGCCAGGUUGGUUUCUAUCUUAAGUUAUUUUUUAAAUUUUCUAGUACGAAAGGACCGUUAAUUUUAAUUAUUUUAUUUUUUUUUGAUUAUUAUU